This is a long non-coding RNA of Leptopilina heterotoma, 2447 nucleotides long. RefSeq lists it as uncharacterized. Lineage: Eukaryota; Metazoa; Arthropoda; Insecta; Hymenoptera; Figitidae. The record is from RefSeq and is a predicted model, not a curated record. The transcript has 3 exons.
AUUUAUUUUUUUUUUAAAGAAAUUUAAAUUAAAUUGAAGAACAAAAUUCUUUUUUAUUUUCUCAUUUGAAUCUUUGAAAAACGAAGCAAUGAACUUGGCGGAAUGUGAACACAAGUUCAACGAAAUUAUUGAUUAAAUAUUAAUGUCAGUGAUUGAAUAAUUAUAAUUUUUAGUAUUAUAUUUCAAAAUAUACACUCGUACCGGAAAUAUAACUAAAGUUACAAGCCAGUUUCAUUUCUCAUUCUUGGAUCGCAAAAAAAUAUAAAAGCCGGAAUCUAUAAAGUUGUUUUAAUUAUGACUCUUUUUUUUAUUUCAAUGUUAAAAAUAUCAAAUUGCAAGUUAACUUUAUAAUCUUAAUCUGUAAUUUAUACAAAGUAUUCUCCUGAUAAUCUCUUCAGGGAAGAAAGAAUUUCUUGUAAAUGCAGAUGUUCUUAAUAACUUAAUCCUUAGAAGGAAAUGGCAAAUAAGAAAUAAGGAAAUUGUUUUUUUUUCUUUCUUUCUUUUGAAAUUUAUUCUUCUUUAGUGUAUAAAAAUCAUGAAUAAAAAUAUAAAAACUCCUUUUUGUUCUUUUUUUCUUUUUUCCUUUUUUUAAACUUCAAUAUUUGACCUCUGAUCUUUAGUCGAACAAAAAAUAAUUCAAUGAAUACCCAAUUAACAUCAGACCUUUUUAGUCAUUUAUUUUUGUUCUCUAUUUUUGACUUUCAAUUUUUGAAAUUAAAAGUAAAAAAACCCCAAGUUUUUUUUUUGUUGAAAUAUUGAUUCAUUUAAAAAUGGUUCUCUUUAAUUUUUUUUCAGAGAGUCUUUUUUUUGUUAAUGAUUCUGCAUAUGAUAAAAUGGAUAAAAUGUUGAGGCAUUUUAAGGAGGGAAAAAAAUUUUUGAUUUACUGUGAACUGUUUUUUUUUUUGUUCUCGUUCGCGGUUUUCGAUUUCUCCUUGGCGAGUUUUAAGACGCCCUUGAACGAUCAUUUUAUGAGACGCACGUAAUUACUAUCAUUAUUUCGUUUCAAACUGCAAAGAUAGAUCAUUAAAUACGUCUAACAAAAAAAUAUAGAUUAUGAAAUAGAAGAUUCACUUUUUAAUCUAGUGAUUUUUUAAAAAUAUUUUCCCCCUGGUUCUUUUUAUUUAUUUUAUUAUUAUUAUUAUUAUUUUUUUUUUUUGAAAAUCUAUUUCGCAAAUCAAGACUCCGAAAAAUGUUGCUUCAUUUCUGAAGUACUUUGGAAAUAUACAAGAAUUAAUUUAUGCAUAUUAUAUGAAUACAUAUAGUCAGAAAAUGAUUCUUCGAGACAACUUUCACUAGGAUCUACAAAUUCGUUUCGUAAUUAUGUAUGAGCUUCGAGGAAAAAAAGAAAUUGUGAAUCGAAUCAAAUCUGGAAAUGAUGUUUUCUCAAAACCUUGACGAAUUUUUUAUGCGAAUAAAAGGAAUUAAUAUUGGGAACACCAUUAUAGCAAUGUGGAUUUUUGUUUGUGAUUGCCUUUGAUGAGAAAGGCCUUGAUGAUGGAACUUUUUCUCAAUUGAUAUGCGGCUCUUUUUCUUCAUCAGUUAUAGAGACGAGACAACGAAUUGGUUUCGAAUUUUCAAGGCUCGCAGCGAGCGGAAGGAAAAAAGAAAAUAAUGAACUGGCUAAAUUUAAAAUUUAGGAGCUGAUCUUUCAAUGUCCCGAACCGAUAAACGAAGUCUUGUGUCUCGAGCAAUAUUCUCGGCCCAUAUAUUAUGCAGGCAUUUCAGCUCUCGUCCACAUUUAUAAACGACCGGUUCAUCUUCUCGUUUUCUCUUUCUUCUGCACGCACGCAAAGAAGAAGAAGAUUCGCUGAAAAAUUGUGUAUAUUCAAAAAAAAGAGCAAAGGAAAGAAAAGCAAAAGAAGAGGAAGGAAAGGAGAAAAGAGCAAAAAAGGAGAAAAGGAGGAAAGGACAAAAAAUUUUUUCAUAAUGAGAAGCUUUUAUAAUGCGCGUUGUAAAUAGAGAAACGUGUUGUAAAUUUAAUUUUUUUUCUCUAUGUACCUAUAGAAGAAAUUGUUAUUUUAUGAUUAUAAUUUAUAAAGUGUAUUAUUAUUAUUAGAGAGGUAGUAAAAAAUUACUAGUGAAAUAAUAAUAAAAAGAGAUUUAAAAUUCUACGUUUAUUAUUAGAGAUGCGUCAUUAGAGGAGAGGGAUUCUAGAAGUUUUAUCGUGAUGUUCUUCACCUGAUUGGUUUUGUCGACAAUUAGAUUCUAAUAAACUCUUUGUAUAUUGUGAAUAAGCAUUUCAAAACGACUGCUUAAUCAGUUAUUACAACGCUAGAAUUAUUUAACACUUGUAUAUAUUAAAGAGAUGACGAUUUUCUCUAUAAAGAGAAGUUGAUUGGGAAAGAAAGAUUUUCCUUUUAAUAUUCCGUCUCGUUAAUUGUUUAUUGUCAGCUAGUUUAUAUUUAGGAACUGAAAAAAUUGGAAAACGAGAAUUAAAUGUCAUUGAA